Gossypium hirsutum (cotton) is the source of this 107-nucleotide non-coding RNA. Lineage: Eukaryota; Viridiplantae; Streptophyta; Magnoliopsida; Malvales; Malvaceae. The record is from Rfam.
AACCCAUGAUGAGGGCACCUUCUCAAUAAGUCCUUGUAUUUCUCCUAUGCAUUAUAAAGAGUUUAUAAAUCCAUCCACACAAAAAAAGAGAUAUCAUUCCUUAGUUU